Molecule: ribosomal RNA, 429 nt
Filed under: Gemmatimonadota bacterium
Lineage: Bacteria; Pseudomonadati; Gemmatimonadota
Description: Gemmatimonadetes bacterium partial 16S ribosomal RNA
Rfam family: Bacterial small subunit ribosomal RNA
Source: RNAcentral
UAGGGAAUCUUCGGCAAUGGACGAAAGUCUGACCUAGCAACGCCGCGUGAGUGAAGAAGGUUUUCGGAUCGUAAAACUCUGUUGUUAGAGAAGAACAAGGACGUUAGUAACUGAACGUCCCCUGACGGUAUCUAACCAGAAAGCCACGGCUAACUACGUGCCAGCAGCCGCGGUAAUACGUAGGUGGCAAGCGUUGUCCGGAUUUAUUGGGCGUAAAGCGAGCGCAGGCGGUUUCUUAAUUCUGAUGUGAAAGCCCCCGGCUCAACCGGGUAGGGUCAUUGGAAACUGGGAGACUUGAGUGCAGAAGAGGUGAGUGGAAUUCCAUGUGUAGCGGGGACAUGCGUAGAUAUAUGGAGGAACACCAGUGGCGAAGGCGGCUCUCUGUUCUGUAACUGACGCUGAGGCUCGAAAGCGUGGGGAGCAAACAGG